GACGAACGCUGGCGGCGUGCUUAACACAUGCAAGUCGAACGGAAAGGCCCCUUUGGGGGUACUCGAGUGGCGAACGGGUGAGUAACACGUGAGUAACCUGCCCUUGACUUCGGGAUAACUUCAGGAAACUGAGGCUAAUACCGGAUAGGAAUCCUUGCUGCAUGGUGGGGGUUGGAAAGCUUCGGCGGUUUUGGAUGGACUCGCGGCUUAUCAGCUUGUUGGUGGGGUAGUGGCUUACCAAGGCUUUGACGGGUAGCCGGCCUGAGAGGGCGACCGGCCACAUUGGGACUGAGAUACGGCCCAGACUCCUACGGGAGGCAGCAGUGGGGAAUAUUGCACAAGGGGCGGAAGCCUGAUGCAGCAACGCCGCGGGCGGGAUGACGGCCUUCGGGUUGUAAACCGCUUUCAGCAGGGGCGAAGCUUGUGGUGACGGUACCUGCAGAAGAAGCACCGGCUAACUACGUG
RNAcentral lists this ribosomal RNA (465 nucleotides) under uncultured bacterium. RNAcentral describes it as "partial 16S ribosomal RNA". It matches the Rfam family "Bacterial small subunit ribosomal RNA", at positions 28 to 507 of the family's 1533-position model. The record is from RNAcentral.